This 518-nucleotide ribosomal RNA is filed under the name uncultured bacterium. RNAcentral's name for it is "bacterial SSU rRNA". It matches the Rfam family "Bacterial small subunit ribosomal RNA", at positions 8 to 518 of the family's 1533-position model. The record is from RNAcentral.
AGAGUUGAUCAUGGCUCAGGAUGAACGCUAGCGAUAGGCCUAACACAUGCAAGUCGAGGGGCAGCACAUGAGUAGCAAUACGAUGGUGGCGACCGGCGCACGGGUGAGUAACACGUAUGCAACCUACCUUUAACAGGGGAAUAACCCGUUGAAAAAACGGACUAAUACUCCAUAACACAGGGGUCCCGCAUGGGAAUAUUUGUUAAAGAUUAAUCGGUUGAAGAUGGGCAUGCGUUCCAUUAGCUUGUUGGUGAGGUAACGGCUCACCAAGGCCACGAUGGAUAGGGGAACUGAGAGGUUUACCCCCCACACUGGAACUGAGACACGGUCCAGACUCCUACGGGAGGCAGCAGUGAGGAAUAUUGGUCAAUGGAGGCAACUCUGAACCAGCCAAGUCCGCGUGAAGGAUGAAGGUCUUAUGGAUUGUAAACUUCUUUGCAAGGGAAUAAAGUGGGGACGUGUCCUCCUUUGCAUGUACCUUGCGAAUAAGGAUCGGCUAACUCCGUGCCAGCCGCCGC